GUGUCUGUUUUGUCAGCACAUAUAUUAAAAUUGGAACAAUGCAAAGAAGGUUAGCAUGGCCCAUGUGCAAAGAUGCAAUGNAAAUUUGUGAAAUGUUAAAAAUUCUC
RNAcentral lists this small nuclear RNA (107 nucleotides) under Salvator merianae (Argentine black and white tegu). The record is from RNAcentral. Lineage: Eukaryota; Metazoa; Chordata; Lepidosauria; Squamata; Teiidae.